RNAcentral lists this ribosomal RNA (896 nucleotides) under uncultured bacterium. RNAcentral's name for it is "bacterial SSU rRNA". It matches the Rfam family "Bacterial small subunit ribosomal RNA", at positions 59 to 929 of the family's 1533-position model. The record is from RNAcentral.
ACGUCGAACGCUGCCCCUGUUCCCCUUCGGGGGAAAAGGUGGCAGAGUGGCGGACGGGUGAGUAACACGUGGGGAACCUACCCAGCAGCGGGGGAUAACACUUGGAAACAGGUGCUAAUACCGCAUAAGCCUUUUUUCCACCUGGAAGAAAGGGAAAAGGCGCUUUAAGCGUCACUGCUGGAGGGGCCCGCGGUGCAUUAGCCAGUUGGUGAGGUAACGGCUCACCAAAGCAACGAUGCAUAGCCGACCUGAGAGGGUGAUCGGCCACACUGGGACUGAGACACGGCCCAGACUCCUACGGGAGGCAGCAGUAGGGAAUCUUCGGCAAUGGACGCAAGUCUGACCGAGCAACGCCGCGUGAGUGAAGAAGGUUUUCGGAUCGUAAAGCUCUGUUGUCAGCCAAGAACAGGAAGAAGAGGGAAUGCUUUUUCUAUGACGGUAGCUGACCAGAAAGCCACGGCUAACUACGUGCCAGCAGCCGCGGUAAUACGUAGGUGGCAAGCGUUGUCCGGAUUUAUUGGGCGUAAAGGGAGCGCAGGCGGUUCGUUAAGUCUGAUGUGAAAGCCCUCGGCUCAACCGAGGAGGGGCAUUGGAAACUGGCGAACUUGAGUACAGAAGAGGAGAGUGGAAUUCCAUGUGUAGCGGUGAAAUGCGUAGAUAUAUGGAGGAACACCGGUGGCGAAGGCGACUCUCCGGUCUGUGACUGACGCUGAGGCUCGAAAGCGUGGGUAGCAAACAGGAUUAGAUACCCUGGUAGUCCACGCCGUAAACGCUGAGUGCUAAGUGUUGGAGGGUUUCCGCCCUUCAGUGCUGCAGUUAACGCAUUAAGCACUCCGCCUGGGGGAGUACGACCGCAAGGUUGAAACUCAAAGGAAUUGACGGGGGGCCCGCACAAG